This 463-nucleotide ribosomal RNA is filed under the name uncultured bacterium. RNAcentral describes it as "partial 16S ribosomal RNA". It matches the Rfam family "Bacterial small subunit ribosomal RNA", at positions 28 to 507 of the family's 1533-position model. The record is from RNAcentral.
GAUGAACGCUGACAGAAUGCUUAACACAUGCAAGUCUUUGGUGAAGCUGUGCUUGCACAGCCUAGCCAAGGCGGACGGGUGAGUAACGCGUAAGGAACUUGCCCUGCAGUCAGGGAUAACAGACGGAAACGACUGAUAAGACCUGGUAAAGUCAGGCGGACUCAUGUCCAGCCUGAUGAAAAGAGAUGCUGCAGGAGAGCCUUGCGUCCUAUUAGCUUGUUGGUGGGGUAACGGCCCACCAAGGCAAUGAUAGGUAGCCGGCCUGAGGGGGUGGACGGCCACAAGGGGACUGAGAUACGGCCCUUACUCCUACGGGAGGCAGCAGUGGGGAAUAUUGGACAAUGGGGGCGAACCUGAUCCAGCAAUUCUGUGUGCACGAUGAAGGUUUUCGGAUUGUAAAGUGCUUUCAGCAGGGAAGAAAAAAAUGACGGUACCUGCAGAAGAAGCGACGGCUAAAUACGUG